RNAcentral lists this ribosomal RNA (440 nucleotides) under uncultured bacterium. RNAcentral's name for it is "partial 16S ribosomal RNA". It matches the Rfam family "Bacterial small subunit ribosomal RNA", at positions 338 to 795 of the family's 1533-position model. The record is from RNAcentral.
CCUACGGGAGGCAGCAGUGGGGAAUAUUGGUCAAUGGGCGCAAGCCUGACCCAGCAACGUCGCGUGAAGGAAGAAGGCUUUCGGGUUGUAAACUUCUUUUUACAGGGAAGUAGAAGACGGUACCUGUCGAAUAAGCCACGGCUAACUACGUGCCAGCAGCCGCUGGAAGACGUAGGUGGCAAGCGUUGUCCGGAUUUACGGGGGGUAAAGGGCGUGUAGUCGGGUUGACAAGUCAGAUGUGAAAUCCUGCGGCUUAACCGCAGAACUGCAUUUGAAACUGUUGGUCUUGAGUACUGGAGAGGCAGGCGGAAUGCCUGGUGUAGCGGUGAAAUGCGUAGAUAUUACGAGGAACCCCAGUGGCGAAGGCAGUCCGCUGGACAGCAACUGACGGUGAGGCGCGAAAGCGUGGGGAGCAAACAGGAUUAGAUACCCGUGUAGUC